GGAACUUGAGUCAGCGAGUGGAAUUAUUGGAUUUAAAACUGAAUUAAUUACUUUCUUACACAAUGUACUAUUAUGCUGUGAGUUCACUCCUCAUUCAGCUUUAUGAGGGGUAGAAGUGUAUGUGGGCUGUGAAUGUGAUCAUGUACAUUUAUUGAUAAAGAAUAGGUGAGCUGGAGACUGGUUUGAAUGUGGAUUCAGAAGGCCCAGACCUGACUAGUGGAAGGAUGUGGGUUUUUUUUGUUUUCUUUUUUUCCUCUAAGCAAUUGUUCCAGGUACAGUCCUUGAAUGGACCUCUGGCCACUGCUCAUAUGGUCCCACAGCAGAGAAUAAGCUGUAGAGCCAGACCUGCCUGGAAGAAGAGAAGUUACUCCAUCUGUCAGUAAAUCUUUUCCAAGGAGAAGGAAAUAUCAACAUCAACAAAAUAUCAAGACAAAAUGACAUUGCCUUUUGAAAGCAAAAAGUAAGGACUUGUGUAUUUCCUACCUCCAUCUUCUGUGAUCUGUCUCUCAGUGUCACAGGUAUGUAGGUCUCAGGACAGAAAUAGUAAGGAACUGGAUCAGAUUUGUUCCUAGUGCUGAAUAUCCAUUGCUAAGGCAAGGAAACAUAAAGGAUUUAAACACUUUUGCCCUUAUCUUCUGGUUGCCUAUCUUUUGAUUUUGCUGUUUGCCUAUGUUUUCUGACUGAGAAUAGAGCUCAAAAUGCCAUUUUGGAAGGGACAUGAGUGAUGCUAGUUCACCGGUCAACUUAGUUUUUAAGGUUAUAAAACAUGUAAAACAUUACAUGUAAUAUCUUUAUCUCCACACACAGCAGUGCAACACUUAAACAGGAACCAGAAAUCAUGAUUCUAAAAAUGAUUGUAGUUAAAUUAUUGCUGGUGAAAUUUUUCUUCUCUUCAGUACUAACCAUAGUAAGUUCAUUAGAGUGUUAGAAGAAAACCUUCUUCUGCUGCCUCAUGUUCAGCUCAUCGUCAGCCAGAACUCCAUGUCUGUAUCAGCAGACCAGCUUUCCAGCCUCUCAUCCCCCAGUCUGCAUGGAGAUCCAGGGCUGCACUGUUCCAAAGACAGAAUCCAUCAGUUGCUUGCUAAACUUCAUGUAGAUGGUGAUGCCUUUUAAUUUGAUGAGAUUCAAAGCUUUUCAACCCUUAAGAGAGCCAACAGCUCCUCCCAGUUUAGUGCCAUCUGCAAUGUCGGUAUACUUUCAAAUACCACAUAGAAGUUGUUGGUGAAAAUGUUAAAGAGAUCUGGCCCUAAAAUGGAGACCUGAGAAACCCUAGUAGUUAACUAGCCACCAGCCUGAUGUACCUCAGUUACUGAUGUAACCCCUGAUGUAACCCCCUUUUAGCCUGUAAUUAGUUGGUCACUCAUUGUAUUAUGUAUUUCUUUA
This 1383-nucleotide long non-coding RNA is filed under the name Coturnix japonica (Japanese quail). RNAcentral's name for it is "lncRNA (ENSCJPG00005014917.1)". Lineage: Eukaryota; Metazoa; Chordata; Aves; Galliformes; Phasianidae. The record is from RNAcentral.